UGAUCCUGGCUCAGAACGAACGCUGGCGGCAGGCUUAACACAUGCAAGUCGAACGCAUCCUUCGGGGUGAGUGGCAGACGGGUGAGUAACGCGUGGGAACGUGCCCUUCAGUUCGGAAUAACCCAGGGAAACUUGGGCUAAUACCGGAUACGUGCGAGAGCAGAAAGAUUUAUCGCUGAAGGAUCGGCCCGCGUCUGAUUAGCUAGUUGGUGAGGUAAUGGCUCACCAAGGCGACGAUCAGUAGCUGGUCUGAGAGGAUGAUCAGCCACAUUGGGACUGAGACACGGCCCAAACCCCUACUGGAGGCAGCAGUGGGGAAUUUUGGACAAUGGGCGCAAGCCUGAUCCAGCCAUGCCGCGUGUGUGAAGAAGGCCUUCAGGAUGUAAAGCACUUUCGGCCGGAACGAUAUCGCGCGAUCUAACAAGUCCCGUGGAUGACGGUACCUGGAAAAAAAAGCCCCGGCUAACUA
Molecule: ribosomal RNA, 469 nt
Filed under: uncultured Pseudomonadota bacterium
Lineage: Bacteria; Pseudomonadati; Pseudomonadota
Description: bacterial SSU rRNA
Rfam family: Bacterial small subunit ribosomal RNA
Source: RNAcentral